Molecule: ribosomal RNA, 506 nt
Filed under: uncultured bacterium
Lineage: Bacteria
Description: partial 16S ribosomal RNA
Rfam family: Bacterial small subunit ribosomal RNA
Source: RNAcentral
AGUGAACGCUGGCGGUAGGCCUAACACAUGCAAGUCGAACGGCAGCACAGAGGAGCUUGCUCCUUGGGUGGCGAGUGGCGGACGGGUGAGGAAUACAUCGGAAUCUACUCUGUCGUGGGGGAUAACAUAGGGAAACUUACGCUAAUACCGCAUACGACCUACGGGUGAAAGCAGGGGAUCUUCGGACCUUGCGCGAUUGAAUGAGCCGAUGUCGGAUUAGCUAGUUGGCGGGGUAAAGGCCCACCAAGGCGACGAUCCGUAGCUGGUAUGGGAGGAUGAUCCGCCACACUGGAACUGAGACACGGUCCAGACUCCUACGGGAGGCAGCAGUGGGGAAUAUUGGACAAUGGGCGCAAGCCUGAUCCAGCCAUACCGCGUGGGUGAAGAAGGCCUUCGGGUUGUAAAGCCCUUUUGUUGGGAAAGAAAUCCAUCUGGUUAAUACCCGGGUGGGAUGACGGUACCCAAAGAAUAAGCACCGGCUAACUUCGUGCCAGCCGCCGCCGUAA